RNAcentral lists this ribosomal RNA (286 nucleotides) under uncultured Methylomirabilota bacterium. RNAcentral's name for it is "uncultured candidate division NC10 bacterium partial 16S ribosomal RNA". It matches the Rfam family "Bacterial small subunit ribosomal RNA", at positions 1060 to 1345 of the family's 1533-position model. The record is from RNAcentral. Lineage: Bacteria; Methylomirabilota (SeqCode).
UCGUGUCGUGAGAUGUUGGGUUAAGUCCCGCAACGAGCGCAACCCUCACCCCUUGUUGCCAUCAGGUCAUGCUGGGCACUCUAGGGGAACUGCCCCGGUCAACGGGGAGGAAGGCGGGGAUGACGUCAAGUCAUCAUGCCCCUUACGUCCUGGGCUACACACGUGCUACAAUGGCCGGUACAAAGGGAUGCAACGCCGCGAGGCAGAGCCAAACCCAAAAAGCCGGUCUAAGUUCAGAUUGGAGUCUGCAACUCGACUCCAUGAAGGAGGAAUCGCUAGUAAUCGC